GCUGGGUGUGGUGGUGCACACCUGUAGUCCCAGCUACUCAGGAGGCUGAGGUGGGAGGAUCACUUGAGUCCAGGAAGUUGAAGCUGCAGUGAGUGGAGGUUGCAGUGAGCCAAGAUCAUGCCACUGCACUCCAGCCUGAACUCUACAAAGUGAGAACCUGUCUCUA
This is an unclassified non-coding RNA of Macaca fascicularis (crab-eating macaque), 166 nucleotides long. It matches the Rfam family "Metazoan signal recognition particle RNA". From Rfam's summary of the family: The signal recognition particle (SRP) is a universally conserved ribonucleoprotein. It is involved in the co-translational targeting of proteins to membranes. The record is from Ensembl. NCBI's taxonomy places the organism in Eukaryota, Metazoa, Chordata, Mammalia, Primates, Cercopithecidae.